Long non-coding RNA from Oryzias melastigma (Indian medaka), 1542 nucleotides. RefSeq lists it as uncharacterized. NCBI's taxonomy places the organism in Eukaryota, Metazoa, Chordata, Actinopteri, Beloniformes, Adrianichthyidae. The record is from RefSeq and is a predicted model, not a curated record. The transcript has 2 exons.
GGAUUUUCAGUUUGGCCACUAGGUGGCGAUCGCACUACACCAGUAAAGUAUAGCAGAAGAAGAAAGAAUGAGUCGUUGUCUUCCCGCUGGGCUGCGCCGCCGCCGUGCGGCUCUGAAAGGAGCUGCAGCCCGCCGCUAAUCUGCCCGCAGACGUAAGCCAAGUCCUGUUUGUCCAGAGAGUGCGCCGCAGCCAGGUACGCCGACAGAGUCCCCGCCAACAGCAGCCGGUCCAGAGACAAGGCGGGCAGCAGCCACAGCACCACCGCCAGCUCCACGCACACCGGGUGGCGGUAGUGAGACAGCAGGCGCCGCGCCCGAGAGGGUUUGUGGGACAGGGGGUCCCCCAAGCUGAGACAGUCAUAAUACACCUGAGAGAGCAAACUUUUUAAAUUAUUAAACAUUUAUAUUUUUACUUGUAAACACUUUAAAAUACAAAUUUAAACAAUUAUUCCCAAAUUUAUAGAUUUUUCCACCAGAAAAACAGAAAAACAAACGGUUUCAAACCUGCUUGAUUCCCAGAAGUUCUGGAUAAUCAAAAAUCAUGAGGAUGCUGCAGAUGAUGGCCCAGCAAAGGAAGUGCAGCGUGAAGCAGAGCAGGGGGAACCAGACGCUCCAGGGGGGGUGCCGCACCGACCACAGGCAGGGGGCGCCGGUCACGGGCUGCCACUGGCGCAUCAAGACCUGAAAACAGAUUAAAACAAAAGUGAAAAAAGGGAAGAAGGGAAGAAGGGAAGUUGGUUUGACUGAUCGUUUUAAAUUGAUUUUUUUAAAUUAAAAAAAUGAAAAUUAAGACAUAAAAAGAAUUAUUUCAGUAAAUGCACAAAAAUAUCAAACCCUAAAAUGACAUUAAACGACAAAAAGAUCUAAAAGUGCACAACUUGAACAACACAACUGGACUACAAAAAUUCAAAAAAAUGUUUUAAAAAAUGUAAAUUUACUUUUUUCUUUUUUGUAUUUUUUACAAUAGUUAUAAAUUAGCAUUUUAUUAAAAAAAAUAACUAAGUCAAAUUAGUUAUUGAGCACAAAAAUAAGACAAAUUUAGGUUUUUUUUGCCAUCAAAGUAAAAAAUUUAAACAGUCUGUACUGUAAAUAUAAAAUAAAUAAAUAAAAAUUAAAGUCACAUUUUGCAUUUUAUGUCCCCCUGGUGCUACCUCCCUCGCCUUAACUGCCUGAGUGGGUUGCUUUAGGCCCCUCCCUCUUCCCCUCUGUUCAGGGGCGGAGCUAGAACAUUCAAAUGGGGGCAUUACAAAUGAAAGAAUCAAAAACAAGAGUUUCAAACAGGUUUUUUAUUUUAUUAACCGUUAAAAUAGCAGUUAUUGUUGCUAAGGUGCUAUUUCUAACAUUUAAAACUAAAAUUUAGACAUAAAAAAAUAAUUUUAGUAAAUGCACAAAAAGAUCAAAUCCUAAAACGACAAAAAGAUCUAAAAGUCCAUAACUGGAACAAAACAACUGGACUACAAAAAUACAAAAAAAUUGAGAAAAAAGUAUAUUAACAUAUUUUUGUAAUUUUUACAAUAGUAAUUAAUUAGCAUUUUAUAAAAA